Molecule: long non-coding RNA, 430 nt
Organism: Helianthus annuus (common sunflower)
Lineage: Eukaryota; Viridiplantae; Streptophyta; Magnoliopsida; Asterales; Asteraceae
Exons: 2
Source: RefSeq, a predicted model, not a curated record
GGACAUGGUUGGCCACUGCUUAUUUUGUUUUUGAAGAUUGAUGUGAACCUAAAGCCAAUAGAUAAACACAACGAAAGCUCAAACUCCUUAUUUAGACGAAUGCAAUUUUCAGGAAACGAACAUACUCGUGUUGUAUCAUCUCUCCGCCGUUCACAGGAUCAAAGGCGCACCUGUAGAAACUGAUUAUUUCACAGAUUAUUGAUGGGUCUGCAAGUUUGAGAACUAAUGGCGGGGUAGAGGUGUUAUGGUGGCUGUGGUUUGGAAUUUUGUGGUGUGGAAGUAUUAUGGUGGUGGUGAUGAGUUGCAGGAGAUGAAAAGGGGAGAAAAGGUGGGGUGGGUAGGUGGAUAGGUGGGGCCUACAUGUAUUUUUUUAAUCUUUUAAUGUUUUAUUUGUUAAUUUCUUAAUAGUAAGGGCAUUAUAGUUAUUUCA